Limulus polyphemus (Atlantic horseshoe crab) is the source of this 1196-nucleotide long non-coding RNA. RefSeq lists it as uncharacterized. Lineage: Eukaryota; Metazoa; Arthropoda; Merostomata; Xiphosura; Limulidae. The transcript is spliced from 2 exons. The record is from RefSeq and is a predicted model, not a curated record.
GUUUAAAAACGAAAUAGGCCUAACGCUAAUGUAUUAUGACGAGUAAAAUUUAUCCAUCAGAAUUCUGUCAAACUUCCCUGAGAUCUAGUGCACCUUCCAUUGGUUGGACAAUGUUGGAAUUAUUGAGUUCACCUUAAGCCGAGAAUGCCUGUUUACAUCAAGUUUCAGCGUAUGAUGUAUAAAUAUCGAAAUAACAGAAGUUUGCGUAGCAUUCUGGAAAGUGCAUUUUCACCUCGAGUUUCCAGACUGUUAGACGUCAUACAACUCGAUAAAUAUCUCUGAUGGUCAUGCAAACACUUCGCCGAACAGCCGCUGAUUGUAUACCAAAUGACAGAGAACAGUUGGGGUGAUUGUCAAAUACUUCCAAGAACAACGUCGUAUCUAGAACGUUGGGGUUCUGUUAAAUAUUUCCGAGAACAACGAUGUAUAUAGAAUUAUAAAGUUCACUAACAGUGUUUUGAACUAAAUGUCCUUUCAUCGCUAUUUCAACACUUUCAUUAGAAGGUUAUUUAGUAAGCACAUCUCAGAGACUCAUUAACGUGUAACUUAAACCAGUAGAGAAAUGAUAAUAAGUGUACACAUCAAACAGAAACUAUACGAGUGCCCGAAGUUCCUAGAAACUAUGAAAACUAAGUGUAUAUCUGUCUUUAGCGUUCGCAUAACUCACUAUAUAUUUCUUCACAUCCAUCAAUCUUCUCGAUUUAUGUGCUUAGUACACAAUUUAAUGUUGUAACUACAGAAAGGUAUCAUAUUAAAACGCAAGUUAUAAGUAACUCAAUCGUGCUUUACAUUAAAACUGGUUGAGAUAACAUCAUCUUUUAUUUCAACAGUUGUGUACGUGUGUUAUGAGGAAUAGUUACUGACAGAGGUGAACAAAUGUUCUACCGGGGUCUUCCGGAACUAAACAAAAUAAUAAAGAUGCUUAAAACAUGGCUAACAGUUUCCAAACUUAAAGUACGUCAGCUAUAAAAGUGCAAAGCAUGCUUAUGGUAAAACUGGAGCUAAAGCCUUAGAGACACAUCUAACUUUAAAUAUAUAUUGAUAUCGAGACAAACAAGAACAGCCAUGCUUUCACUUUAGUUUCAUUAAAUGUUUUUCCAUGCUGGGUAAGAAAUCAUAUGUUUGUGUCUUAUUUAGGUGAAUAGAAUAAGAGUACAAAUCCAAUGCUCCCGAAAUAAAAGCAAUUAAAAGUUAAA